CCUACGGGAGGCAGCAGUGGGGAAUAUUGGACAAUGGGGGGAACCCUGAUCCAGUGACGCCGCGUGAGUGAAGAAGUAUUUCGGUAUGUAAAGCUCUAUCAGCAGGGAAGAAAGAAAUGACGGUACCUGACUAAGAAGCCCCGGCUAACUACGUGCCAGCAGCAGCGGUAAUACGUAGGGGGCAAGAGUUAUCCGGAUUUACUGGGUGUAAAGGGAGCGUAGACGGGGAUGCAAGUCUGAAGUGAAAGGCGGGGGCCCAACCCCCGGACUGCUUUGGAGACUGUAUGGCUGGAGUGCAGGAGAGGUAAGUGGAAUUCCUAGUGUAGCGGUGAAAUGCGUAGAGAUUAGGAGGAACACCAGUGGCGAAGGCGGCUUACUGGGCUGUAACUGACGUUGAGGCUCGAAAGCGUGGGUAGCAAACAGGAUUAGAUACCCCAGUAGUC
This 443-nucleotide ribosomal RNA is filed under the name uncultured bacterium. RNAcentral's name for it is "partial 16S ribosomal RNA". It matches the Rfam family "Bacterial small subunit ribosomal RNA", at positions 338 to 795 of the family's 1533-position model. The record is from RNAcentral.